This 51-nucleotide microRNA precursor is filed under the name Pteropus alecto (black flying fox). RNAcentral's name for it is "mir-1302 microRNA precursor family". It matches the Rfam family "mir-1302 microRNA precursor family". Lineage: Eukaryota; Metazoa; Chordata; Mammalia; Chiroptera; Pteropodidae. RNAcentral also lists the same sequence under 1 other name. The record is from Rfam by way of RNAcentral.
UUUUUGGGAUAAGUAUGUAUCAUGCAAUAUUGAUACAUACUUAUCCCAAAA